Molecule: non-coding RNA, 72 nt
Organism: Gekko japonicus
Lineage: Eukaryota; Metazoa; Chordata; Lepidosauria; Squamata; Gekkonidae
Source: the annotation of a RefSeq genome assembly
GGGGCUGUGGCUCAGUGGCAGAGCCUCUGAUUGGUAAGCAGAAGGUCCCGGGUUCAAUCCCCGCCAUCUCCA